This 586-nucleotide long non-coding RNA is filed under the name Monodelphis domestica (gray short-tailed opossum). RNAcentral's name for it is "lncRNA (ENSMODG00000042367.1)". The record is from RNAcentral. Lineage: Eukaryota; Metazoa; Chordata; Mammalia; Didelphimorphia; Didelphidae.
UCUGUAUUACUUCCUAUUAGUCUCCCCAAGCACUCUGAAUAAGCUUUUUAGAGCAUAAUACUAUUAAAUUACAUUCACAUAUUGAUGUUCAGCCAUUUCCCAACUAUGGGACACAUUUUGUUUCUAGUUCCUUUUUAACAUUAGAAAUAAUGUGGUCAUGUUUUGUUUUGUUUUGUUUUUGCAUAUAGGUGUAUGCUUAUUUGCUGAUGAUCUCCUUAGAAUAUAAUUCCAAUAGUAGAAUUUCUGGAUCAAAGGAGAACAUAAAAAGUCCAAUGCAAAGAUAUUUUUCUUCUCCAUAAAUCAGAGGCACCCUUCCCUACAAUACAUAUGCUAGCUGUGAGGAGAGGCCAUUUAUGGAGCGGUACAUGGGCAAUUUGUGUGACAAGCACUACUUCUGAGUCAGAGGGCAAGCAAGUGGAAGAUAUGAGUGGUCUGGACCUUUCUGGAGAGACAGCUCCUACCUCUGAUGCUGCAAGCAACUUCUGCUUAUGGGAGUCAAAAUGGUAGAGUAAAGAACACUCAGCUUGCCUAACCCACCUCCAGAUAGCCAUAAAAAAUAAAAUGACUCAAAAUGAAUCCUGGAGCA